This is a long non-coding RNA of Dioscorea cayenensis subsp. rotundata (Guinea yam), 608 nucleotides long. RefSeq lists it as uncharacterized. Lineage: Eukaryota; Viridiplantae; Streptophyta; Magnoliopsida; Dioscoreales; Dioscoreaceae. The record is from RefSeq and is a predicted model, not a curated record. The transcript has 5 exons.
CUUCUCCCAUGGCCUUUCGGCUUCAUCCUCUCUUGUAGAUCUGAGUUUUUACCAUUCUCUCAUUGUUUUUUCAAGUUUUCAAGUUUCCAUUCGCUUGGAUCCCCUCUUUGCGAUCUAUUACAUCCUUCGUCACCGGUGGUUCGGCCUACACUAAUCCAUCAUCAAGCCAAUUCUAGCUUCAUCCGUCAAGUUGGUUCUUGUGUGUUGUAUUGUGCAUACUAUAUUGCAGGGGCUGACCCGAGUGACACAAUUUUGCAUGAUGAAAGCACGUGGUAGGAUUCACAGUUUUCCUCAUCGUAGUAGGAGCAAUGUGAGGAAAUAUGCAAUGGGUGGAGUUGAGCGACAAGAUCGCGAGGUUGGUUGGCAAUGAUGAGUACAAGAGUUAUGACAAUACAUAGAGCCACAGAGAUGAAGCUGAGCAACUGCAGCCACUUCAACGCGGUAACAACAUGUUUUGCAGGAACUUUUACAAGAUUUUGGUGUGUACUUUAAUUAAUAUCUUCCUAUUUGUUUUGAUCUACUAGCACUUGCAGGUUUAUGGUGGAUUUUGCAUGUUGUUUUCCUUAUGUAUAGCAAGUUGUACAACAUGUAAACUGUUUGUACUUCAU